This 521-nucleotide ribosomal RNA is filed under the name uncultured soil bacterium. Its description in RNAcentral is "16S ribosomal RNA". It matches the Rfam family "Bacterial small subunit ribosomal RNA", at positions 8 to 526 of the family's 1533-position model. The record is from RNAcentral.
AGAGUUUGAUCCUGGCUCAGNUUNAANGCUGNNNGCAUGCCUNACACAUGCAAGUCGAACGGUAACAGGUCUUCGGAUGCUGACGAGUGGCGAACGGGUGAGUAAUACAUCGGAACGUGCCCGAUCGUGGGGGAUAACGCAGCGAAAGCUGUGCUAAUACCGCAUACGAUCUACGGAUGAAAGCGGGGGAUCGCAAGACCUCGCGCGGACGGAGCGGCCGAUGGCAGAUUAGGUAGUUGGUGGGAUAAAAGCUUACCAAGCCGACGAUCUGUAGCUGGUCUGAGAGGACGACCAGCCACACUGGGACUGAGACACGGCCCAGACUCCUACGGGAGGCAGCAGUGGGGAAUUUUGGACAAUGGGCGCAAGCCUGAUCCAGCAAUGCCGCGUGCAGGAAGAAGGCCUUCGGGUUGUAAACUGCUUUUGUACGGAACGAAACGGUCCUGGUUAAUACCUGGGNNNANUGACGGUACCGUAAGAAUAAGCACCGGCUANNUNNNNNNNNGCCGCCGCGGUAAUUC